GAGGAUAUAGCUCAGUGGUAGAGCUCAUGCUUAACAUACAUGAGGUCUUAGGUUCAAUCCCCAGAACCUCC
This 71-nucleotide transfer RNA is filed under the name Camelus bactrianus (Bactrian camel). It matches the Rfam family "tRNA". Rfam says of the family: Transfer RNA (tRNA) molecules are approximately 80 nucleotides in length. Their secondary structure includes four short double-helical elements and three loops (D, anti-codon, and T loops). Further hydrogen bonds mediate the characteristic L-shaped molecular structure. tRNAs have two regions of fundamental functional importance: the anti-codon, which is responsible for specific mRNA codon recognition, and the 3' end, to which the tRNAs corresponding amino acid is attached (by aminoacyl-tRNA synthetases). tRNAs cope with the degeneracy of the genetic code in two manners: having more than one tRNA (with a specific anti-codon) for a particular amino acid; and 'wobble' base-pairing, i.e. permitting non-standard base-pairing at the 3rd anti-codon position. Lineage: Eukaryota; Metazoa; Chordata; Mammalia; Artiodactyla; Camelidae. RNAcentral also lists the same sequence under 2 other names. The record is from Rfam by way of RNAcentral.